UAAAAAUAUUUUCAUUUUUCAUUACUAUUUCACUUUUCAUUACUAUUAUAGCUGGCUUUUCUUAUUGAGCAGAAAAAUAGACAAGAAACAUUUGGACAUAUUCCUUUGCUUUGAGCAUUUCUGAAACAAUUCUGCAGUGAAACAUGCAUCCAUCAACCUAAUACUUUUGCAGUCAUAAUCAUCGUGCUAGUCCUACAUUAUUAAGGUGCCUUUAUGCAGUAGUCCAUGUACAUAUUUUUUCUUUAAAAUUGUAAUUUUUUUUCUCCAUAACAGAUCUCAAAUUAUUUUAAUUUCCUAGUUUGUCUUUUUUCGUCGUUUGCAUGUUGUGGGGCAGGAUUUACUUGCCCAGAGACAGUGGUAGAACUGAAUAGGGAGUUGAAAUUGAACUCAUAAGUUAGCUGUGAGGAAGAAAAUGAAGUUGAGGAAAGCAUGAGUAUCUUUAAUGCUUUAAUGGAUUUGUUUUUGAGCUCUUUGAUAUAGCAGACAUGGAUUUUUUCUAAAGAAUGAGAGUGCUUCAUACUGACUCUUAUAAAGAAGAUAAUUAAACCAGAGAAGAAUGCAAACCAGUAUUCAUAAAUGCAAAAUUUACAUGGUGGUCUGUUGCUGGCUGGCAGUCAAGAGCACACAUGGCCUAGUUUCCACUGCACUGGCAUGGGUCCUCCAGAGAAUGUAUUUCCUUUGGGGUUUAUUCCUGGACUAAGGCCCCUCUUGGGGUGUUACCUGUUCCACUGCAGAUCACCUCCUACAGCUCUGGUUGCAGUGAUAUUUUUAAUUGGUGCUCUCUCUCUUUUCCUAAGUAUGUUUCCACAGAGGUGCCACCAGCCUGACAGAUGGGCUCAGCUGUAUCCUGUGGUGCAUUCAUUGGAAGUGGCUGGAACCAACUGCAAAAGUAAGAGCCCAGUCAGUAACUGAUACUGAGUUACAGAAUUUAAUAGUCAGAAGGGGAUGGAUCACAACAAGGUGCAGUAAGAAGAGAGGGAAGAUGGAGUAGAAAGCAUAUGAGAGAACAAAAAGACAUUAGGAAGGAAUUAUUUAAUGUGAAUGUAGUGAAGCACUGGAAAAAGUGGCUGCCCCAUCCCUGAAAGUGUUCAAGGCCAGGUUGGAUGGGGCUCUGAGCAACAUCAGAUCUGGUGGAAGGUGUACAUGCCCAUGGUGGGAGGGUUGGAAGGAGAUGAUCUUUACAGUGCCUUCCAACCCAAGCCUUUCUAUGACAUGUGAUCUAUAAAUGCUGCUGAGCCUAUCUCCUAAUCCUUCCAAAAGGAAGUAGUUGUAUACAGAGCUUCAUAAAUAACUGUGCAACAUGGCCAAAGGGCUUCUGAGUAAAGAACACAUGCUGCACAGAAAGAGCUGGUGCCUUAGAGGGAUAUCCCAGCAUGCGAGCAUUGAAGAAAAAGGCGUCAAGCAAGAAAGAUUUACUGCAUAGCCCUGGCACCAGACCAAUGAAUCCAUCCCAAAGGACUUUAUUUCCAAUUACCUGUUUCUAUAUUACCAUACUGACUUGUGAAGAAUUCUCCCUUAUGGGAAUUCCUCAAUAAUUGUUGGUUGGGAUCUAUAAAUCUUUCUUCUCUGCAGUGUUAUCCUAACUUUUAUUAUCCUGCUGAGCCUUAACAUAAGAAAACAGUGCAAUUUGAUGUAUCUAUAUUUGGCCAUAUUCCUCAGUA
This is a long non-coding RNA of Passer domesticus (house sparrow), 1661 nucleotides long. RefSeq lists it as uncharacterized. The record is from RefSeq and is a predicted model, not a curated record. Lineage: Eukaryota; Metazoa; Chordata; Aves; Passeriformes; Passeridae. The transcript is spliced from 3 exons.